RNAcentral lists this ribosomal RNA (498 nucleotides) under uncultured bacterium. RNAcentral describes it as "partial 16S ribosomal RNA". It matches the Rfam family "Bacterial small subunit ribosomal RNA", at positions 28 to 507 of the family's 1533-position model. The record is from RNAcentral.
GACGAACGCUGGCGGCGUGCCUAAUACAUGCAAGUCGAACGAGAGCAACCGGUGCUUGCACUGGUCAAUCUAGUGGCGAACGGGUGAGUAACACGUGGGUAACCUGCUCAUCAGUGGGGGAUAACAUCCGGAAACGGAUGCUAAAACCGCAUAGGUCUUCGAACCGCAUGGUUUGAAGAGGAAAAGAGGCGCAAGCUUCUGCUGACGGAUGGUCCCGCGGUGCAUUAGCUAGUUGGUGGGGUAACGGCUCACCAAGGUCGUGAUGCAUAGCCGAACUGAGGGGGGGAUCGGCCACAUUAGAACGGAGACACGGCCCAAACGCCUACGGGAGGCAGCAGUAGGGAAUCGUCCGCAAUGGACGCAAAUCUGACGGAGCAACGCCGCGUGAGUGAAGAAGGUUUUCGGAGCGUAAAACUCUGUUGUUAGAGAAGAACAAGUGCUAGAGGAACUGUUAGCGCCUUGACGGUAACUAACCAGAAAGCCACGGCUAACUACGUG